UGCCAGCCUCCGCUGUACUCCUGAUUGUCCAAUCGUUAUCCGUAUUUGUUGGGUUUAAAGGGUGCGCAGGCGGAACUUUAAGUCAGUGGUGAAAUCUUGCCGCUUAACGGUAAAAUUGCCAUUGAAACUGAAGUUCUUGAAUGUAGUUGAGGUAGGCGGAAUGUGUUGUGUAGCGGUGAAAUGCAUAGAUAUGACACAGAACGCCAAUUGCGAAGGCAGCUUACUAAGCUACGAUUGACGCUGAGGCACGAAAGCGUGGGGAGCAAACAGGAUUAGAUA
RNAcentral lists this ribosomal RNA (279 nucleotides) under uncultured bacterium. RNAcentral's name for it is "partial 16S ribosomal RNA". It matches the Rfam family "Bacterial small subunit ribosomal RNA", at positions 506 to 784 of the family's 1533-position model. The record is from RNAcentral.